RNAcentral lists this long non-coding RNA (1173 nucleotides) under Homo sapiens (human). RNAcentral describes it as "HSALNT0345808". Lineage: Eukaryota; Metazoa; Chordata; Mammalia; Primates; Hominidae. The record is from RNAcentral.
UGGUCCUAAGCAUCACAGAAUCCCAGUCUCUUCAGCAAUGGCUCAGCCAACAUGGGCCCACAAGAGGUCAUGAACCAUUGGUUUAAUGGCUCCGUGCCACUUGUAAGCCAGCAGAUCCACUCUCCAUCCUUCUCUACUCUGUCUGUGCUGUGGGAGGCUGACCCCAUCUGUUUACUUCAGUGGAGCACUAGAGCCUGCAAGAACUGAUUGUAUGCAUCUCCUCCUAACUCCGUGUUUGGUGACUGUGGUAGGAAUAUUUACACUAUGGACACUGGCAAAUACUACAACCUACAGCACCCAGUAUUCCCAGGCAGUCUUCCAUCUAAGGACUAACCAGGCUUUAUCUUGCUUAGCUUCCAAGGCCAGGUGAGAUCGGAUGCAUUCAGGUUGGUAUAGCUGUAGAUAGCCCCACCUAUUUAUACCUUCACACUGGGGGUUAUGUCCCAACAUAGGAAUUUUUUUGGGACACCAACAUUCAGACCACAGCAGGAGUGUUGGAGACCAAUUAGAAUGUUGACAUUUGAUAAUUGCCCUCUUCAAAACUGGCUGAAGAGAAAGGAAUCUGACUGAUUUUUGAAGCUAGUGCUCUUUUGCAGGUGCCAUCACCUGUUUGUUGUGUGAACUUGCUCUCUGUCCUCCUGGAGUCAGCUACUAAAACUUCUCAUCCACAGUGCUGGCCCCUGAAUCCUGGCUAACAAAGCCUUACCCUAUGGACAGGAAGAGAAAUGAGACACAACGUUGCCCAGGAGCUGGGUAUUGGUGAUGACUCCAAGCCCUACUUCUCUUCCACUUGCUAGGGCUCUGCUUGCUCCAUUGGUUGCCAAAUCCACAUCUGGAUUUUCCUGUUCACUGGGCCCGUUUCGACUCAUGAUUUGCUUUGGACUUUCCACUUGGUUCUAUGCAUUGCUCUCUGUGAUGAUCCUGGUGGUUCAGCCUCUGCAUUUUGACACAGAAAGCCCCUGGUAGCAGUAUGGAUGGCCAUGUUGGCCUGGACCUGAAGAACACUGAAUCUCACCCACCAGGAACUGGACUCCCAAACUCCUGGCUGCUGACUCCAGGAAUUCCUAUAGCUAUAAAUGUCUACAUUGUUUUAUUUUGAUUCCACUUUGUUUAUUUGGAUCUGUGUAUCUGCCUCUGAACUCUGUAUCUUGUAUCUUUUAUUUUUAUUUUAUU